Molecule: long non-coding RNA, 303 nt
Organism: Cyprinus carpio carpio
Lineage: Eukaryota; Metazoa; Chordata; Actinopteri; Cypriniformes; Cyprinidae
Source: Ensembl
UGUUGCCCUGCUUAACUGGUUUGAUUUGUUCUCUUAUAUGUGGCAGUUUUGCGAAUGUCAUCACACCAGUCCAGACUGAGGUUUAUAAGAAAGAAGGAGAAAACGUUACUCUGUCCUGUAGCUACUCCUCAGCGUCUACACUGCAGUGGUAUCGCCAGUAUCCCGGAUCAGCUCCUCAAUUUCUUUUGAUAAUACUACAUGCUACAGGAAAAGUUUCACAAAAGUCAGAAAUUGUGGAUCGAGAUCCUCGAUUCUCUGGGAAAGUGAAUGAAGAGAAAACGCAUGUGAUUCUGGAGAUCUCCU